UAACUGCUUCACAUCAACGCCUUCCCCUAAUGUUGUCUCUCUUUUCCAUUCAUUCACCACAAAUCCCCAAACGCUGAGACGGAGAGAAAAGAAAGGGAAGAGAGAAGAGAGGGCUGAACGGAGAAGAAGGAAGGGAGGGGGAGGACCGCCACCACCGAGCCGCCGAACCGAGCCGCCAAAGCUCGUUCGUUCAUAAACAGCACCAAAAAGAUUCACAACCAGCAAUUUCAAUAUGUGUACAGAAAGAAAGUGGCUGAGAAACUGAGUUUGCAUUCAGAAGUAAAUCUGUUGAAGAUGCUGGUUUUUAGGGCAGCUCUUCAAAACAUUUGCAAUCACCAAAUGUUCCGUAAAUUGCCAAAGUUUUGGUAGAGCUGAAGAUUAGUUGGUUAGAGGCUCAAGGCCUAUUACAGCCCCCUCUUGACCAUGCUCCCUACAUUGUGGUGAUUGAAGGUUUUGAAUUUGAAGGAUGAGUUGUGGCAUGAGAAAAUCCAAAUAAAACAAAAUGGUGUGUUACCAAGUGGAUAUGCACAGAAGAUUGGGUUCUAAAUAUGGGAAAAUUGGCUGAACUACGGAUGGUAGAUACCAUGAUUUAAUUGUUCUUGUCUUAAUCCUGAAUCCUUUUCUUUCCGAAAUUGAAGAGGGGCUCACAUUUGUUUAAUAUUUGAAUCUCUAUUUUCUUAUCAUGAAUGCUGUGUUUUUGCUGCUCCAUAAAUGACACAUUGGUUGUCAAAUCAUUGUGGUGGUGAAAAGAUCUAGUAGGCUCAACGUAAAAAUUGUCUCAAGUAGUAACCAAGUUGAGUGUCUCUUGUUGAAGGCUAUCACAUCGGCCAAGCUUCUUAUCGGUGAAGCAAUCAAGUCCAUGAGGUAUGCAUUCAAGGUUAGUUUGAAUUCGAUCUCCAUUGCAAUUCCUUCACUUUGAUCAUUUCUGAUUUCAUUUAUGUUGUCUACUACUACUACUACUACUACUACUACUACUACUACUACUACUACUAGUUUCUCUUUGAUACUCUUGAGCACAUAUCACUCUUGUUUAGAAUUGACUGCAGCACAACUUGAAUGGAAGUUUCCUCUUGCUUAGAGUUGCAACACUACUAUUACUACUACUUUUAGCACAACUUGAAACUACUACUUGUAACAGAAUUUGAAUUUAGGUUUCCUCUUGCUUAGAGUUGACAAGUUGACAAUGAAACUACUACUUGUAACACAACCUGAAUUUAGAUUUCCUCUUGCUUAGAGUUGACAACAACACAACUACUACUACUAUUUUCUCUUGCUUAGAGUUGACAGCACCACAACCACUACUACAACUUGAAUUUAGGUUUCCUCUUCUUUAGAGUUGAAUUUAACACAACUAAUACUUCGUCUUUCUUAUAGUUGACAACAAUACAACUAGUACUAUUACUACUACUACUACUUGUAGCACAACUUGAAUUUAGGUUUUCUCUUGCUUAGAGUUGCAACACUAUUACUAACACUACUACUACUACUUCUUGAAACUACUACUUGUAGCACAAUUUGAAUUUAGGUUUCUUCUUGUUUAGAGUUGACAGCACAACUACUACUACUUGUAGCACAACUUAAAACUACUACUUGUAGCACAAUUUGAAUUUAGGUUUCCUCUUGUUUAGAGUUGACAACAAUACAACUAUUAUUACUACUAGUAGCACAACUUGAAAUUAGAUUUUCUCUUGUUUAGAGUUGACAACACAACUAUUACUACUACUACUACUUGUAGCACAAUUUGAAACUACUACUACUGCUUGUAGCACAACUUGAAUUUAGGUUUCCUCUUGUUUAGAGUUGACAACACAACUACUACUACUACUGCUUGUAGCACAACUUGAAUUUAGGAUGCCUCUUGUUUAGAGUUAACAACAGCACAACUACUAUUACUACUACUUGUAGCAUAACUUGAAUUUAGGUAUCCUCUUGUUUAGAGUUGACAACACAACUACUACUACUUGUAGCACAACUUGAAAUUACUGCUUGUAGCACAACUUGAAUUUUAGGUUUCCUCUUUCUUAGAGUUAACAAUAGCAGAACUACUGCUACUAUUACUACUUUGUCUUUCUUAGACAUGACAACAACACAACUACUACUAUUUGUAGCACAACCUGAAUUUAAGUUUCCUCUUAUUUAGAGUUGACAACACAACUACUACUACUUGUAGCACAACUUGAAACUACUGCUUGUAGAACAACUUGAAACUACUACUUGUAGCACAACUGAAUUUAGGUUUUCUCUUGUUUAGAGUUGACAACAACACAACUACUAUUACUACUACUUGUAGCACAACUAAUUUAUGUUUCUUCUCUUUUAGAGUUGACAACAACACAACUACUACUACUACUACUACUACUACUACUUGUAGCACAACUUGAAUUUAGGUUUCCUCUUUCUUAGAGUUAACAACAGCAAAACUACUGCUACUAUUACUACUUUGUCUUGCUUAGACAUGACAACAACGCAACUACUACUAGUAGCACAAUUUGAAUUUAAGUUUCCUCUUGUUUAGAGUUGACAAAACAACUACUACUACUUGUAACACAACUUGAAACUAUUGCUUGUAGAACAACUUGAAACUACUACUUGUAGCCACAACUGAAUUUAGGUUUCUUCUUGGUUAGAGUUGACAACAACACAACUACUAUUACUACUACUUGUAGCACAACUUGAAUUUAGGUUUCCUCUUUCUUAGAGUUAACAACAGCAGUACUACUGCUACUAUUACUACUUUAUCUUGCUUAGACAUGACAACACCACAACUAUUACUGUUAGUAGCACAACUUGAAUUUAAGUUUUCUCUUGUUUAGACUUGAUAACACAACUACUACUACUUGUAGCACAACUUGAAACUACUACUUGUAGAACAACUUUAAACUACUACUUGUAGCACAACUGAAUUUAGGUUUCCUCUUGUUUAGAGUUGACAACAACACAACUAUUAUUACUAUUACUUGUAGCACAACUUGGAACUACUACUUGUAGCACAACUAAUUUGUUUUUUCUCUUUUAGAGUUGACAACACAACAACUACUACUACUUGUAGCACAACUUGAAUUUAGGUUUCCUCUUGUUUAGAGUUGACAACAACACAACUACUAUUACUACUACUUGUAGCACAACUUGAGACUACAGAACUUGAAACUACUUGUAGCACAACUAAUUUAUGUUUCUUCUCUUCUAGAGUUGACAAUAACACAACUACUACUACUACUUGUAGCACAACUUGAAUUUAGGUUUCCUCUUUCUUAGUGUCAACACCAGUAGAACUAUUGCUACUAUUACUACUUUGUCUUGCUUAGAGUUGACAACACAACUACUACUACUAGUAGCACAACUUGAAUUUAAGUUUCCUCUUGUUUAGAGUUGACAAAAUAACUACUACUACUUGUAGCACAACUUGAAACUACUGCUUGUAGAACAACUUGAAACUACUACUUGUAGCCACAACUGAAUUUAGGUUUCCUCUUGUUUAGAGUUGACAACAACACAACUGCUAUUACUACUACUUGUAGCACCACUUGAAUUUAGGUUUCCUCUUUCUUAGAGUUAACAACAGCAGAACUACUUCUACUAUUACUACUUUGUCUUGCUUAGACAUGACAACAACACAACUACUACUACUAGUAGCACAACUUGAAUUUAAGUUUCCUCUUGUUUAGAGUUGACAACACAACUACUACUACUUGUAGAACAACUUGAAACUAUUGCUUGUAGAAUAACUUGAAACUACUACUUGUAGCACAAUUGAAUUUAGGUUUCCUCUUAUUUAGAGUUGACAACGAUACUACUACUUGUAGCACAACUUGAAACUACUACUUGUAACACAACUAAUUUAUGUUUCUUCUCUUUUAGAGUUGACAACAAAACAACUACUACUACUCUUACUACUUGUAGCACAACUUGAAUUUAGGUUUCCUCUUUCUUAGAGUUAACAACAGCAGAACUACUGCUACUAUUAGUACUUUGUCUUGCUUAGACUUGACAACAACACAACAACUACUACUAGUAGCACAACUUGAAUUUAAGUUUCCUCUUGUUUAGAGUUGACAACACAACUACUACUACUUGUUGCACAACUUGAAACUACUACUUAUAACAUAACUUGAAUUUAGGUUUUCUCUUGCUUAGAGUUGACUACUACUACUUGUAGUACAACUUCAAACUACAACUUGGAGCACAACUUGAAUUUAGGUUUCCUCUUCCUUAGAGUUGACAAUAACACAACUACUACUUCGUCUUUCU
Non-coding RNA from Arachis ipaensis, 4248 nucleotides. The record is from RefSeq and is a predicted model, not a curated record. Lineage: Eukaryota; Viridiplantae; Streptophyta; Magnoliopsida; Fabales; Fabaceae.